RNAcentral lists this long non-coding RNA (272 nucleotides) under Mytilus galloprovincialis (Mediterranean mussel). The record is from RNAcentral. Lineage: Eukaryota; Metazoa; Mollusca; Bivalvia; Mytilida; Mytilidae.
GCUUCAACGAAUGGGAGUGUUUAACUACUAUGGCAUUGACCAUAAUGUUCUCGUACGAUCGGCCGGGAGACGUUAAAAAAAUGACACAACAGCUGAUUCAGCCGGUAACGAAUUUCCAAUAUCAUUUUAACAUUCACAAUACAAAGGGAAUUUCCUCUGCUUAAUGGAGCCCCUAAAUAAAUGUGAAUAGUUAAGUUUUAUUCAAAAUUGUCGAAAGCAAAGUUUCAUAUGUGUUCUCGUACGAAUACUGAAUAACAGACGGACGGUCACAC